UAAACGGACCAUCGAGUAUCCAUUGGAGGGCAAGUCUGGUGCCAGUAGCUGCGGUAAUACCAGCUCCAAUAGCGUAUAUUAAAGUUGUUGCAGUUAAAAAGCUCGUAGUUGGACUUGUGUGCGCUGUCCGCGGGUGGCCUGCGCCCGAAAGGGCGUUUCGGUUCGGCCCCGGUGGCGCCUUGAAAUCUGCAGCUGGGGGGACGUUGGCCUUAACUGGUCGGCGACCGCACGCCGGCUGCUCGGUUACUGUGAGAAAAUUAGAGUGUUCAAGGCAGGCAUUGGGUGCAAUUGAAUACAUUAGCAUGGAAUAAUAAAAUAUGGCUCCUGCCGUAUUUUGUUGGUUUUGACUGGUGGGAGUAAUGAUUGAUAGGGACGGUUGGGGGUGCUAGUAUUGAGCGGCCAGAGGUGAAAUUCAUGGAUUCGCUCAAGACUAACUUAUGCGAAAGCAUUCACCAAGGACGUCCUCUUUAAUCAAGUACGAAAGUUGGGGGAUCGAAGACGAUCAGAUACCGUCGUAGUCUCAACCAUAAACUAUGUCGACUUGGGAUCGGCGGUAGUUUUUUCAUUAAGACACUGUCGGGACCACGGGAGAAAUCAAAGUGUCUGGACUCUGGGGGAAGUAUGGUCGCAAGGCUGAAACUUGAAGGAAUUGACGGAAGGGCACCACCAGGAGUGGAGCCUGCGGCUUAAUUUGACCCAACACGGGGAAACUUACCAGGUCCAGAGAUGUAGAGGAUUGACAGAUUGAAGCUCUUUCUUGAUCACUUCGGUGGUGGUGCAUGGCCGUUCUUAGUUGGUGGAGUGAUUUGUCUGGUUAAUUCCGUUAACGAGCGAGACCUCAGCCUGCUAGUGUAGUCGGCUGGAUUGCCUUUGGCGAUCCGUGAUUUCGACUUCUUAGAGGGACAAUCGACGCGCAGUCGAUGGAAGUUUGAGGCAAUAACAGGUCUGUGAUGCCCUUAGAUGUUCUGGGCCGCACGCGCGCUACACUGCUGGGCUCAGCGAGUUUUACUUGGCCGAGAGGCCCGGUUAAUCUUGUGAAAUCCCAGCGUGCUUGGGCUCGCCUCCUGCAACUGGAGGCGCCAACGAGGAAUUCCUAGUAGACGCAGGUCAUCAACCUGCAUCGAUUACGUCCCUGCCCUUUGUACACACCGCCCGUCGUUCCAUAAGAGUGAGGCAUCCGGUGAAUUCUCGGGAGAGCCUGGGCGUGGCCAGCAAUGGUCUGCUCGGGUUUGAACUUGCAUAAACUUGGUGCCUAUGAUUAGGG
This 1264-nucleotide ribosomal RNA is filed under the name metagenome. RNAcentral describes it as "SSU rRNA". It matches the Rfam family "Eukaryotic small subunit ribosomal RNA", at positions 526 to 1783 of the family's 1831-position model. The record is from RNAcentral.